Pocillopora damicornis (cauliflower coral) is the source of this 634-nucleotide long non-coding RNA. The record is from RefSeq and is a predicted model, not a curated record. Lineage: Eukaryota; Metazoa; Cnidaria; Anthozoa; Scleractinia; Pocilloporidae.
ACUGUUGACAACAUAAUUUGUUCCAACAGCUGAUGGUUUAAAUUGUGCAGGGGGAGGGGGACAUAUUACGGUCGAAAUUUUAUUUCAUGAAAGACAGUUUAUCACGAAGGACUAAUCCUGCAAAAUUUAAUAGUUAAGCACUAAAACUGUAAUCACCUCCCCUUCUUUUCAAAACAAAGUAGAUCUAUUCUUUACCUUGCUUGUUUACUAUGCUCAGAUCACAGCUACCACAGGCGCAAUCUCUAUCGGCUCCUGGUAUUAUAUGGCCAAUAUUUUUCUUUAUACAGCUGCUAGAUGUUUUGAUUGUGGAUUUUAAAGUUCGAUCACUGAGCUUCAGGGAACUGAUUUAAGGGCUGUCCUAUUAAUUAGAUACAGAUACUGACAAAAGCUCAUACAAAAUCACGGUCGGGUUGUCGGUGUCGGGAUGCUUGGUUUUCAUCGCCAUCAUCAUAUGUGUGUGUUGGUUUUGCUGUAGGGGAUGAACUCAGGCCUCGAAAGUCAAUGCAGAUCUAUCCAAAGUUGCCUUUUUGACCUUUUACAUAGCGCACUUAGAGUUAAGCUGAAAACGCUACAUACGAGAUGAAUUAAGUCAAAUGUUUGUAGAGCUUCUUUAAUUAAAAUUGUGUAAGGACAA